RNAcentral lists this long non-coding RNA (296 nucleotides) under Ananas comosus (pineapple). Its description in RNAcentral is "long non-coding RNA (ACOM_LNC027909)". Lineage: Eukaryota; Viridiplantae; Streptophyta; Magnoliopsida; Poales; Bromeliaceae. The record is from RNAcentral.
AGUUACGCGUUCCGCUCGUUUUGACGGAACUCGGCACGACUUACGAGGGAUGUGGUAUGUUACAGAAAGAAGGGUCCGAUGCAGGGGAGGGGUACCGGGGAGUGGGUUUGGGUUGGGUUUCGGUAAGGGUUAGGGUUAGGGUUUUAUUAUUGCUCAAGUAAAUUUAUUUAAUAUUUAAAUAUUAGUAGGUAAAGAUAUAAAGUUUAAACAAUUGCCGCUAAAGUAUAAUUAAAUAUUAAUUAAUAGCGGCCAUUUCAUAAUCGCCAUUAUUAAAUUGCCGCUAAAAGGUAAUUUUG